Molecule: ribosomal RNA, 396 nt
Filed under: uncultured bacterium
Lineage: Bacteria
Description: partial 16S ribosomal RNA
Rfam family: Bacterial small subunit ribosomal RNA
Source: RNAcentral
AUACGUAGGGAGCGAGCGUUGUCCGGAAUUACUGGGUGUAAAGGGAGCGUAGGCGGGAUCGCAAGUCAGAUGUGAAAUGCAUGGGCUUAACCCAUGAGCUGCAUUUGAAACUGCGGUUCUUGAGUGAAGUAGAGGUAAGCGGAAUUCCUGGUGUAGCGGUGAAAUGCGUAGAUAUCAGGAGGAACACCGGUGGCGAAGGCGGCUUACUGGGCUUUUACUGACGCUGAGGCUCGAAAGCGUGGGGAGCAAACAGGAUUAGAUACCCUGGUAGUCCACGCUGUAAACGAUGAUUACUAGGUGUGGGGGGACUGACCCCUUCCGUGCCGCAGUUAACACAAUAAGUAAUCCACCUGGGGAGUACGGCCGCAAGGUUGAAACUCAAAUGAAUUGACGGGG